GAUGAACGCUGGCGGCGUGCCUAAUACAUGCAAGUCGAGCGAACAGACGAGGAGCUUGCUCCUCUGACGUUAGCGGCGGACGGGUGAGUAACACGUGGAUAACCUACCUAUAAGACUGGGAUAACUUCGGGAAACCGGAGCUAAUACCGGAUAAUAUAUUGAACCGCAAGGUUCAAUAGUGAAAGACGGUUUUGCUGUCACUUAUAGAUGGAUCCGCGCCGCAUUAGCUAGUUGGUAAGGUAACGGCUUACCAAGGCAACGAUGCGUAGCCGACCUGAAAGGGUGAUCGGCCACCCUGGAACUGAGACACGGUCCAGACUCCUACGGGAGGAAGCAGUAGGGAAUCUUCCGCAAUGGGCGAAAGCCUGACGGAGCAACGCCGCGUGAGUGAUGAAGGUCUUCGGAUCGUAAAACUCUGUUAUUAGGAAAGAACAAAUGUGUAAGUAACUAUGCACGUCUUGACGGUACCUAAUCAGAAAGCCACGGCUAACUACGUG
RNAcentral lists this ribosomal RNA (497 nucleotides) under uncultured bacterium. Its description in RNAcentral is "partial 16S ribosomal RNA". It matches the Rfam family "Bacterial small subunit ribosomal RNA", at positions 28 to 507 of the family's 1533-position model. The record is from RNAcentral.